This is a small nuclear RNA of Loxodonta africana (African savanna elephant), 188 nucleotides long. Its record names the gene U2. It matches the Rfam family "U2 spliceosomal RNA". Rfam says of the family: U2 is a small nuclear RNA (snRNA) component of the spliceosome (involved in pre-mRNA splicing). Complementary binding between U2 snRNA (in an area lying towards the 5' end but 3' to hairpin I) and the branchpoint sequence (BPS) of the intron results the bulging out of an unpaired adenosine, on the BPS, which initiates a nucleophilic attack at the intronic 5' splice site, thus starting the first of two transesterification reactions that mediate splicing. The record is from Ensembl. Lineage: Eukaryota; Metazoa; Chordata; Mammalia; Proboscidea; Elephantidae.
AUCGCUUCUCAACCUUUUGGCUAAGAUCAAGUAUAGAAACUGUCCUUUCAGUUUAAUAUUUGAUACGUCCACGUCUGAUGACAAUAUAUUAAAUGGAUUUUUGGAAUUUGAAAAUGGAAUGGGAGCGUGCUUCAUCCACCCCAUUCAUCAACCCGGUAUUGCAGUACCGCCAAAAAGAAAAACAGUAU